GUGCCAGCAGCCGCGGUAAUACAGAGGGUGCGAGCGUUACUCGGAAUUACUGGGCGUAAAGGGUGCGUAGGUGGUUGAAUAAGUUAGGUGUGAAAGUCCUGGGCUUAACCUGGGGAUUGCGCCUAAUACUGUUUAACUAGAGUGCGGUAGAGGGAAGUGGAAUUUCCGGUGUAGCGGUGAAAUGCGUAGAUAUCGGAAGGAACAUCAGUGGCGAAGGCGACUUCCUGGACAGAAACUGACACUGAGGCACGAAAGCGUGGGGAGCAAACAGGAUUAGAAACCCCCGUAGUCC
RNAcentral lists this ribosomal RNA (292 nucleotides) under uncultured bacterium. RNAcentral describes it as "partial 16S ribosomal RNA". It matches the Rfam family "Bacterial small subunit ribosomal RNA", at positions 505 to 796 of the family's 1533-position model. The record is from RNAcentral.